GUCCGAGUUGCAUAUGUCCAUCGUUUUUCAGACAAACACAUUUUCGGAUAUUUUAGAAAAUGUUUUAGAUCUUUCAGUUGAUUAAAUGUAAUGUUACGGGGUCCAGCCAUAGUCCACGACCCUCAAGUCCAAAAAAAGUGCGUCCAUACUUCACAAAUUAAAUCCAAACGGCUCCAGGAUGAUAAACAAAGGUCUUCUGAGGGUAAUCCGCGCGGUGUUGUUGUAGAAAUAUCCAUAUUUAAAACUUUAUUAACGUAAAUAAAUACCUUCCGGUAGCGCCGCCAUCUUAGUCGCGUCCGCAUUCAGGAUGAGAGCUUACGCAGCCUACGGAGGCUACUCUGCUGCUGAUCUGUGCCCCCGCCCUCCGAAUUUGUCAUACGUCAGUAGUUAUAACGGGCCAGCAUUCGUCAAACUUUUAUGACCCCCUCCCCCACCCGGUGACAGUUGCUGACUGACAGGUCGUUUUUAUGACCCUUUGACAGGGGGGCGGGACCAUCAAUCAAAAUCUGUACAAGUUGUCAACUUUAGACAGAAAGUAUUUAAUGGUUUUAUUGCCGGUCAUUUAGAGUGAUUGUUUUUCCUGAGUGUGUUUUAUGUCAAGCGUAUGGUGUCAUGUUUAAUGACGGCUCGUGUUUGUGACAUUUGCUGUCUAUCACCCCUCCCUUUUCGACCCGUGCGCUUCUCACCACUGCGUGUCACACAGUGAUGUGUGUGUUGUUGAAUCUAAAGUUUUGCAACAUCAAAAGUUUAUUUAAAGGCAAUCACUAAUUAUAUAUAUAUAUAUAUAUAUAUAUAUAUAUAUAUAUAUAUAUAUGUAUGUAUGUAUUAGAUGUAGCUGGUUAAACUUAAAGGCCGAUAUUUUCUAUCGAACUAGUCUAUUUUCUGUUCAGACACAAAGUUUUCUGAUGCUGAUAUUAUGUCAGUGUGUGUUUGUGUGGGGGUCGUGUGCUGUAAUCUUUGAAAGUUUAUGACCGAACCUUUAUUGGGGAGCGACAAGAGAUCUCCCGGACUCAGUUUGGAUGGAGCAGAGCUGUUAUACUCAAGUCUAUUGCGAAAUUGUCUAAACUGGUAUUAACUAUUCCUGGUAAAUCGCGGACAAGAGUGGCCUGAACAAAAAAGUCAGCCCGAGACUAGAACCUCCCGCAGCGUAACAAGGAAAUCUUGGAGCAAAGAGACGCCGAGUGGCUCGUGUUGUGCGGUUUGGAUAUCUGCUGCAAUGCGAACGUUGUGUGUACUAUUGCAAAAUAGCGGAUCUCCCCGGUUAGGAUACAGACCACAACGCUUUGGACGUAUCUUUAAAAAAGAGAAAAAUCAGAGACUUUUUGGAUUUGUCUGGGGACAUUUUAAACAUUUUGUGUCAAAUUGGAUUUAAAACAUUUCGGAUACUGGAUACCUAGUUUGAUUUGUCCACAGAUCUUGUUUAAGACGUUUUCACCUCAUUUUAGGGUUUAUUUUUAAUUAAAGGCUUCUUAAAACAUGUAUGAAAAUGUGUAUAUUAUACAAUGAGUCUUAUAUUGUCUGCUCUGACAAAAAUAAAUUAUUAUUUUAGAUCUUA
This is a long non-coding RNA of Paramisgurnus dabryanus, 1555 nucleotides long. RefSeq lists it as uncharacterized. The record is from RefSeq and is a predicted model, not a curated record. NCBI's taxonomy places the organism in Eukaryota, Metazoa, Chordata, Actinopteri, Cypriniformes, Cobitidae.